This 6608-nucleotide long non-coding RNA is filed under the name Salmo salar (Atlantic salmon). Its description in RNAcentral is "lncRNA (ENSSSAG00000104626.1)". Lineage: Eukaryota; Metazoa; Chordata; Actinopteri; Salmoniformes; Salmonidae. The record is from RNAcentral.
GAGAUUCUUCAAAGUAUGUGUUAUUUCAUAGUUUUGAUGUCUUCACUAUUAUUCUACAAUGUAGAAAAUAGUAAAAAAUAAAGAAAAACCCUGGAAUGAGUAAGUGUGUCCAAACUUUUGACUGGUUCUGUAUGUGUCAGAUGUUUUUAGUUUAAGGAUAAACCAAUACCAACCAGUUAAGGAGAUCUUCACUUCCCAAAACUAGUUUCACACAAGUCUGGGUCUAUUUUUGGAUUAUGAAUACAAGGAACCAUAUACUACUCUACUCUCAUUUGAAUAUUGCACUUGAAAAAUAAAUGACUUGAAAACAGCCUCUUGUCUUGUACAUCUAUGAUAUUGCAACUCUGUAGAUUACAGUGGACUCUAUAGAUUACAGUGGACUCUAUAGAUUACAGUGGACUCUAUAGAUUACAGUGGACUCUAUAGAUUACAGUGGACUCUAUAGAUUACAGUGGACUCCUGAAAAAGGCAAUGGCUUGGGACUGUUGUGCCAGAGUAUGUAGUUGUCAGGAGCAAGCUAUUGAAAAUCAUGUCAUUGAAAUGAGACUGGAAAACUGUAUUGUACUUAAAGAAUUCACAUUUAUUGAAAGAGCACUUAUCAAGAGUCGAAUGUACAUAAUAUAUUUCAAAGUGUAAAACUGAUUAGAUUAAAUGUUAAAUCAAAAACUAUUUCCAUCACCUCCCAAAAGAAAACAAAAAACACCUCUCACCUUUCUCAGCCAGGGUGCAGCAAAGGAGACAGAGGAAGAUUGCACAACACAGACAGAGUGCAGACAUCGUGCUAAAACAACAAGAGCUUCACAACUAACAAAUAGCAGGAAAUAGACAGUAUGUCUAUACCACAGUGAUGUCUGCUCUAGAACCACUCCACCAAUAGGAACACGAAGUAGGCCUACUUUACAGUUAGGUUCUGAACAAAUGAGGUAGGCAUAAUAAACCAAGACAUUACAAAAUAACAUAAAGAGAAUCAAGACCUGAACUUAUUUCAGUUGCAAUUGUGGGUGUCAGUAUGUGACAGAAUCAUAUGUUAGGGAAUCAUAGGUUAGGGAUAAAUGAGGUUUAACAACAAAACAUAAUUAUUUGAUUUGAACUUUUACUUCACUACAUUCCAAAACAAAAUAUGUACUUUUUACUCCAUACAUUUCCCCUGACACCUGUGGAGGAAAUGAAUAUUCAUGACAUACUAUACUGUUUAAUUAGACAUAGAAUGCUGUUUUCUACGUAAAGAUUGUCCAUUGUUAAAUGCUAGUAUUUUUUAUAACCUGAUACAAAGUUGCCUUUGUGUGACUUAGUCACAAGACUGGGUGAUUUCGUAAGAACCGUUUGGGUGUGACCGCAGCAUGUGACACAUCCCGUGGUUUUCUGCAGGAACUCAGCUGUAUGGGAAGUUGCAGGAAGGAGCACAUUAUAGUGUGAACUGUGACAAACGCAGUUACAUGGUUGAGCCCUUGUGCUAUCAACCUCCGGCUAUCUUAAUCUGCACUGACAAACCAAUCGCCUUUUAGACACUAUGCUCCGCCCAUUUCCACCCAUCUGCUAAACUGCCACAAAGACAGAGGUUGCAUUUUCUAUAAAAGCUGAGAGCCAACGCUAUUCGUUGGGCUUUCUGACUAUGCACUGUUGAGUGAUUGUCAUUUAUUGCUUCAUUUUUACAAAUCUUAUAAUAAAGUUAUUUGAUAGAAUCUGCAGUCUCUCUUCCUAUAGAAUGUCUACCACACACCCAAAAGUACUGGUUACAUUUCAAAUGCUUAGCAGGACAGGAAAGCUGCCCAAUUCAAACAAACAUCCCUGGUAAUCCUUACUGCCUCCGAUCUGGCGGACUCACCAAACACAAAUUAUUCAUUUGUAAAUUACGUCUGAGUGGUGGCUAUCCGUAAAUAAAUGUUUAAAAAAUAAAUAAAAAAUGGUGCAGUCUGGUUUGCUGUAUAUUUUAGCAAUUACAUUUACCUUCGAUAAUUAAGUAUAUUUAAAACCAAAUACUUUUAGACAAGUAGUAUUUUACUGGGUGGCUUUCACCUUUACUUGAGUCAUUUUCUAUUAAGGUAUCUUUACUUUUACUCAAGUAUGACACUGGGUAUUUGUUCCACCACUGUUGGAUUCUGGGGUAAACUUUGAACAUUGUUAUACUCAGAAGUAUAGGAACAUUAGUUACAUAAGAGACAUGAAGCGUGCCAUAAUGAAGUUUGGGAGGGGCUGAGUGCAGGGAAAACAAUCGCAUGUGACAGUACUGAUAUCACUUAGUUCCCUGCUUAGCAAGAAUGACGCAAUGUUUAGCGAUAAGGUGGAGACUCCACCCAAAGUUGGGUAUGAAUACUACCACGGGGGAGGCCAUGUCUGUGUCUGAAUUACAGCUGUAUUGACCCUUUGGGAAGAAUUAAACUUGGUUAAGCUUCUCUAGUGUCUGAGUUAUUUACUCAAAAUUAGAACCUAACAUUACAUAACAUAUCCUCUAGUCCCAGACAUGAUAGAGGUGAAUGGUUCACUACAUAACAUAUCCUCUAAUCCCAGACAUGAGAGGUGAAUGGUUCACUACAUAACAUAUCCUCUAGUCCCAGACAUGAGAGGUGAAUGGUUCACUACAUAACAUAUCCUCUAGUCCCAGACAUGAUAGAGGUGAAUGGUUCACUACAUAACAUAUCCUCUAGUCCCAGACAUGAGAGGUGAAUGAUUCACUACAUAACAUAUCCUCUAGUCCCAGACAUGAGAGGUAAAUGAUUCACUACAUAACUUAUUCUCUAGUCCCAGAAAUGAGAGGUGAAUGGUUCACUACAUAACAUAUCCUCUAGUCCCAGACAUGAGAGGUGAAUGGUUCACUACAUAACAUAUUCUCUAGUCCCAGACAUGAGAGGUGAAUGAUUCAAGUAUUCUAUAUCAGCUAUGUUUUUUUUAAAAGGCAGUAAAUGAGGAUGGCAGUAAACUUAACCUGGGUAUGUGGUAAGCUGAUCCUCCAGACAGUGGAAGUUAAGCUUUCUACACAUUUCUGUACUGAAUGAAAUAUUAUCACUACCUUUAUAAAACAAUGUCUAUCUUUAUUUUCCAAACACAAUUCAACACAAUCACUUUGUCUUUUAAUGAUUUUAAGCAUAUUUUAUCACAGGCUUAACACCUUACAAAGGCUUUGUACUUUUUAAAACAUUUUUAACAUAGGCCACCCCUGUUGUCAAAUCAAAAUUGUAUUUGUCACAUGCGCUGAAUACAACAGGUGUAGACCUUACAAUGAAAUGCUUACUUACAAGCCCUUAACCAACAUUGCUUUAAGAAGUUAAGAAGAAAAACGUGUUAACAUAGAUAAAAGUAACAAACAGCAGCAGUAAAAUAACAAUAGCGAGGCUAUAUACAGGGGGAACCGGUACAGUAAAUGUGCGGCAAUUUUGUGAAACUCAUGAGAGACAAUACGGCCACAUUACCAUAACGCUGUUUAUAUAAUAGCCUCAGGGCACCGCUUGCAAGCCUCCCUUUUUCCUCCUAACAUAACGAUGGUCAUUAAUGCCAAAGAGUUCUAUUUCUGUUUCAUCAGACUAGAGGACAUUUCUCCAAAAAGUACGAUAUUUGUCCACAUGUGCAGUUGCAAAUCGUAGUUUUAAUAGCAGUUUUGGAGCAGUGGCUUCUUCCUUGCUGAGCGGCCUUUCAGGUGUCAUGACAUUGCCCUCUUUGGACACAGCGAGCACCAUCUCCCUCUGUCUCCUACACCCAGGCUGCUGUGUUCAGAGAGGUCGUAAAUUCCUGGAGGAGACUAUCUCCUCAUGGCCACAGUAUAGAGAGUGAGUUUUUAUAGAGAGAACAAAGGAAUUUCUUCCACCUCACAGAACUGGAGGUCCGAACAAUAUUUAUGUUCUGGAGAAUGUAUAAAAGAUUGGUGAAGAAUCCAGCUACGAACUGGUCCGUUUGGUACAAUUUUGUGAAACUCAUGAGAGACAAUACGGCCACAUUACCAUAACGCUGUUUAUAUAAUAGCCUCAGUUAUGAGGCUUACAUCUAAUUGUUGUAUAAAAUGAAUGAGUGAGGAUGGAACUGUUUGUGAAAUUGUGUAAUGUGAUUUUGGACUGUUUAAUGAAGGAAACUCCAAUUCCCUUUUGGAGUUUAACUAAUCAGAGGACCACCCAUGAGCACAGUUAUGGUCUGGUGUCAUGGGACUGGCCCUUUUCUGCUCUUCUAAAUAAAAUCCCCACCUAGGUUUUCUAUCACCAGACCAGCUUACCUCGAUAACGAGAGGGCUAAGGUUUGAGACGAGACCAGCUUACCUUGAUAAUGAGGGGCAAGGUUUGAGAGGAGGCCAAGCUUACCUCAAUUACGAGAUGGCUAAAGGUUGCAGACCAUGCAUUUCUCUUGCUGAACUUUUAACCAUACCAUGUGGUUAAACUCUUAGACUAUCGAUACCGACAGAAUAAGAACAAGUCUUUGAUAUUAAUUACUAGUCUGCAGCUAGGAAUUCGGUAUCAUUGAACGCGAAGACCGACAACCGCCAAAACAGCUAAUCUAUAACGUCAUGAAUGAAUGUUACUCUGAACUAUCCAUUCUAACCACAACAGAGAGAGAGACAGAGAGGACAGAGACAGAGAGGACAGACUCUCCAACAGAAACAAACUUUUCAACAGAGAUCCCGAUGACACACUGAACUCUAACAUCAGGUUUUAGUCACAAUAUAUGAAAGAAUAGUCUGGUGUGGUUAACAACUACAGACAAUGCUGUUAACACUUAGCUUGGUAGCAGGAUAAUGCAUGCACUCCAUUUCUCCUGCAGAGGGGGAACACAAUAGUGUUGAACCAGAUUGUUCUCUCUUCCAGGCAAAGCAUUAACAUUCAGUUAGCUGUGUGGCGUGAGAGACAGAGCAGACAUGACACCGACAGGGAAGAGAGCCCAUAACACUCCGGAUAAUACAUCUGUCGCUACGGAAACAGUCCUGUCCUGGUGCUGGAGUCGUGCUCUGCUGGGACUGCUGUAUCCUCAGGCUCUGGUUCCAUAGGGGACAAUAGGAAUACCAACACUGUUAUACACCAUUUUACCACACACAUUUUAUACACUGCAUUUUACUAUGAAUUUGAUCGUUUUGACAGGAAUCCCUCUUCGAUUAGGUAGACAAAAAUAAUAUACUCAAACAUUCUGCCACAAAAGAGUCUUCCUGUGCCACUGGUUCAUCUGGAAAGAGAAACCAGAAGCAACCUUUUACAGGGGUUGAUACUGUGUGCUCUACCAUGUUUUGUGAUUUGUUACAGAGACAAUUGAAUAACAAAUCCUGAAUUCCCAUCUGGGGAGGAGAAGGAGAGCAAUAGAGAAACUAAAACAAUAAAAACUAAACUAAGUGAUCUUGUCGAGGAGUUAGUUCUCCAUUCCACUUAUAUAGCAACAUCCUGGCAUUUAGCCAGAACAGAAAGUACUCUCCUAAUCUUCCCAGACCUCUGCAUUCCUCUCGGCAGAGAUUGUCAAAUGCAAGGUCGUGUUCACUAGGCACGAAAUGGAAAGAAGCAGUCUGAAAUGGGGAGGAACUAUCUGAAUAACUUCUUGAAGCAUUUUGCAACAGUGUGUCCUAAUGGACAUGACCCUGGGUGCUCAUGUUGUCUGAGUCUUCUGGCUUGAAACAGCUUGAGAAGCAGCAGUCCAAUGGCAAGAGAGCCUACUACCACAAAUACAGCAGUCACAUUCUUGUAACUGUUCUUUGGAAUUUCCUUUUGAUUUGCAGCAUUCUCAGGAACCUGGUGCUGGUCUCAUACUGUAACACACAAAAUCAGAAUCAUUAAAAAUGAAAAUCAUGUCACAUUCAGGUAUGCGAUCAGGGAUGCAAUGAAUUAAGUCAUGUUUGUAGGGUGAGUCAAUUUAUAUUGGAUACUAAUAGAUGAUAAUGUCAGAAAAGCAAGAUUUCUUGAUGGAUCAUCUGCACAGUGGAAAUCAUGAUGCAAAAAGGAGAAUACUAAACAGUCAGUGUUAGAGUGUGAGGAAGGCACUUUGAAUUCCAAACUAUGUGUUAAGCCCUUAGUUUUUCCUGACUGGGAAAUACUCAGGGCCCUACCUAUAAACAUUGGCCUCCAAAAGCUUUGAGCUCACCUGUGACCUUCAGCAUGAAGUUACAAUUUGUGUUUCCACUGUCAGUGUUCACCACACACUCAUACGGACCCUCUUCUUCAGGCUGGGUUUCUUUAACCAACAGGGACACAACUUUGUCUCUCAUUGGCAGGUGGCAUGGAAAGCUGAUAUUUUGGGCUCAGCAGCAUCCUGGGAUUGGAGGAUUGUAUAUAUAUAUGUGAACACAGGUUCACCUUUGUAAUGACCAUUCUGGUCCAGCCUCCACAACCUGCUUUAUGUUUACAUUACCAGGGGAUUCCUCACUGAACUUCACAGAGCAGUCUAGGACUGCAUCCUUCCCAGAUUCCACCUGGAUGACCUGCUUCAACUCUGAGCGCUGGUUUAGACCUGUUUAAGCAACAGAUAGAAAAACUAAAUGAAACAGGACUGUAGUACAGAAAAUGUUACAACUGACAGGUGUAGUUUGGAUAAAACAAAACUCCUAGACCAUUCGAUGUGAGCAUUUUGGAAGUUGUGGUGUUGGCAAAAGUAUUACAAAUUGUGCCUGCAGAAUGCCUUACUUUUGGAUGUCUCCAUCCCAGUGAUGAGGA